This 206-nucleotide long non-coding RNA is filed under the name Lathyrus oleraceus (garden pea). Its description in RNAcentral is "Pisum sativum (pea) long non-coding RNA (PSAT_LNC010210)". Lineage: Eukaryota; Viridiplantae; Streptophyta; Magnoliopsida; Fabales; Fabaceae. The record is from RNAcentral.
AAAAUAUUAUUCAAUGUUUGAGUUCUUACUUAAGAAAUUUAGGUAUAUCAAAAUAACUAAUAAUUUUCCCCUUAGAUAUGUUUCUCUUCCUUUGUAAUCAAUCAAAAAGACAUAGACAAUAAAAAAGGAAAUAAUGAGAAAGAAACAAAAAAAACAUUGAUUAUGCCAAAAGGAAGAAAAGAUACAAACAACAUUAAAAAAUGGCU